Molecule: ribosomal RNA, 751 nt
Filed under: uncultured Acidobacteriota bacterium
Lineage: Bacteria; Pseudomonadati; Acidobacteriota
Description: bacterial SSU rRNA
Rfam family: Bacterial small subunit ribosomal RNA
Source: RNAcentral
AUUGAACGCUGGCGGCGUGCCUCAGACAUGCAAGUCGAACGAUUAAGACUUCCUUCGGGAAGUGCAUAAAGUGGCGCACGGGUGAGUAACACGUAAGUAAUCUACCCUCGAGUGGGGAAUAACGUUCGGAAACGGACGCUAAUACCGCAUAACGCAGCGGCACCGCAAGGUGACAGUUGUUAAAGGAGCAAUCCGCUUGAGGAGGAGCUUGCGGCAGAUUAGCUAGUUGGUAGGGUAAUGGCUUACCAAGGCUACGAUCUGUAUCCGGUCUAAGAGGACGGUCGGACACACUGACACUGAAUAACGGGUCAGACUCCUACGGGAGGCAGCAGUCGGGAAUUUUGGGCAAUGGGCGAAAGCCUGACCCAGCAACGCCGCGUGAAGGAUGAAGUAUUUCGGUAUGUAAACUUCGAAAGGAUAGGAAGAAUAAAUGACGGUACUAUUUAUAAGCUCCGGCUAACUACGUGCCAGCAGCCGCGGUAAUACGUAGGGAGCAAGCGUUGUUCGGAUUUACUGGGCGUAAAGGGCGCGUAGGCGGCGCGGUAAGUCACUUGUGAAAUCUCUGAGCUUAACUCAGAACGGCCAAGUGAUACUGCAGUGCUAGAGUGCAGAAAGGGCAAUCGGAAUUCUUGGUGUAGCGGUGAAAUGCGUAGAUAUCAAGAGGAACACCUGAGGCGAAGGCGGGUUGCUAGGCUGACACUGACGCUGAGGCGCGAAAGCCAGGGGAGCAAACGGGAUUAGAUACCCCGGU